UACGUAGGGUGCGAGCGUUGUCCGGAAUUAUUGGGCGUAAAGAGCUUGUAGGCGGUCUGUCGCGUCUGCUGUGAAAAUCCGGGGCUCAACCCCGGACUUGCAGUGGGUACGGGCAGACUAGAGUGUGGUAGGGGAGACUGGAAUUCCUGGUGUAGCGGUGAAAUGCGCAGAUAUCAGGAGGAACACCGAUGGCGAAGGCAGGUCCCUGGGCCACUACUGACGCUGAGAAGCGAAAGCAUGGGGAGCGAACAGG
RNAcentral lists this ribosomal RNA (253 nucleotides) under uncultured bacterium. Its description in RNAcentral is "partial 16S ribosomal RNA". It matches the Rfam family "Bacterial small subunit ribosomal RNA", at positions 524 to 776 of the family's 1533-position model. The record is from RNAcentral.